Non-coding RNA from Oryzias latipes (Japanese medaka), 794 nucleotides. Lineage: Eukaryota; Metazoa; Chordata; Actinopteri; Beloniformes; Adrianichthyidae. The record is from RefSeq and is a predicted model, not a curated record.
GUAUUGAAUUGAAUGGGAGUCUCUCUGCAGCAUCAGUGCAUGAAAGAGUGAAUGACAUGAGUGGAGUUUGUUCUGCUGCUACUUCCUGAAUGUUUGCAGUUCAGAGCUGACUGCUUUCAUCAGGAAACAGUGAAGUCUGCUCAGUUAGUUUGAUCUCUAAAGAUGUCCACACAAACUGAAGCUGCAGCAGAUUGGAGAGGGAAAUUUAGCAGAAAUCUUCAUCCAGAUGGAAGAGAACAAAGUGAGGUGGAGAUGUUAGAUGAUGAAGAGCAGCACUCUGAUCAUGGAUUACAACAAACCGAAAAUCAGAAGCAGAAGAAUCUUCAAGCUGAGAGAAGAAACUGUUUCAGAGUUUUCAAGUUUUCUCUGGGAGUUUUCUGUUUCCUGAUUCUGGCUGGACUCAUGACUCGCUAUCUUCUGGUGUCUUUGGAAAACAACAGACUGAAAAUCAGAAACAAUCACCUGCAGACUGAACCUUCAGGUAAAAUAGAUUCUAAAUGUUUAGUCAAAAUGUUGAACAAACUAUUUCUAAAAAUGUCUUUGGGUUUUUUUGUUCCUCUUUUAUUUAAACCUGCUUGAGUUCAGCCUCACAUGGACUGUUUCAAACAGGAACACGGAGAAAAGACCACAGUGAUCACGGUUUCACACAUCUAUCAUCACAGUUCUGAACUAAACUGAUCCAGGAGGAGAAGAAACAUUAAUUCCCUACCUGUUUGUCUUGUAUGGAAGCGAUUGUGUAGCGUAAUUAAAAAUAAAAGUCAAAACCAGAAAUGCUUUUUCAUUUUCAAAAUGAA